Long non-coding RNA from Acyrthosiphon pisum (pea aphid), 406 nucleotides. RefSeq lists it as uncharacterized. The record is from RefSeq and is a predicted model, not a curated record. The transcript has 4 exons. NCBI's taxonomy places the organism in Eukaryota, Metazoa, Arthropoda, Insecta, Hemiptera, Aphididae.
GAAUAAUUAUUUAUUCUUUGCUGGGCCUAAGUCAAUUGAAAUUAUAUUGCACAAGGAUGAAUUAUCCGUACGAUAAGGCUCAUACGAUGAUACGCGUAAUUCGAUAAUCGUUAUAAAUUAUUACACUGCCAACGCUGCCUUUAAAUCGAGUACACCAAUAAUUGACCACAGUACAACUUUAAAACCAAUAUGGUUACAGUUGGAACUGAAUAGUUACCACACCCACGCCCAAGAACGACAAGACGUACAAAAUGCACGUAGUGAAUGUGCCUUUGGUCUUCCUAUUCCAAAGUACCGACACGGAGGAUGAGGUGCCCGAACACGUUACAAACUGGAGACCAAUGAUGUGUGAAAUUGCUUAAACAUAAUAUUAUGACGUAUAUAAAAGAACAAAAAAAUGUUUACA